This 226-nucleotide ribosomal RNA is filed under the name uncultured bacterium. RNAcentral's name for it is "partial 16S ribosomal RNA". It matches the Rfam family "Bacterial small subunit ribosomal RNA", at positions 538 to 763 of the family's 1533-position model. The record is from RNAcentral.
GCGUUAAUCGGAAUUACUGGGCGUAAAGGGCGCGUAGGCGGUGUAUUAAGUUAGAUGUGAAAUCCCUGGGCUUAACCUAGGAACUGCAUCUAAGACUGAUACGCUAGAGUGCGGUAGAGGAUAGUGGAAUUUCCGGUGUAGCGGUGAGAUGCGUAGAUAUCGGAAGGAACACCAGUGGCGAAGGCGGCUAUCUGGACUGACACUGACGCUGAGGCGCGAGAGCGUG